UGGCAGAAUUCUGUACCAACAUAAGUUUUUUUGAGACUGAUUAAAUUAUGAAUUAAAUUUUAAUUAAUUUAAAUUAAAUUAAAUUUAAUUAGAUUUAAUUUAAUUUAAUUUAAUAUUAAUUGGAUUCAAUUAUCCAAAUCAGAUUUAGAUUUCAAGCCUGAUUGGAUCAGGCUUGACAGCCUUUUCAAAUUUGGCUCGUUUCGGACUCGACUUGAAUCCGAUUAAGGUUCUAUUUGAACC
This 240-nucleotide long non-coding RNA is filed under the name Elaeis guineensis (African oil palm). RNAcentral describes it as "long non-coding RNA (EGUI_LNC057238)". Lineage: Eukaryota; Viridiplantae; Streptophyta; Magnoliopsida; Arecales; Arecaceae. The record is from RNAcentral.